This 12413-nucleotide long non-coding RNA is filed under the name Chlamydomonas reinhardtii. RNAcentral's name for it is "long non-coding RNA (CREI_LNC000369)". Lineage: Eukaryota; Viridiplantae; Chlorophyta; Chlorophyceae; Chlamydomonadales; Chlamydomonadaceae. The record is from RNAcentral.
UGGUCGCUGGUGGCGCAGGCGCACGGCACCCAGUCGUGCAUGGACCCCAACGUCAUUGAGGCGGGCGUGGUCGUGUCUGCCUGCGGCCACGACGGCCCCUUCGGCGCCACCGGUGAGUUGCAUGUUUUUGUGUCCGGUACCUAUUUUCCAUUGUUGUAUGCGUGUCUUGUGUGUUUCCGACCCACCCCUGGCCUGCGCUCUCGCCUCUUGUUUCUCACCUGCUUUCUCACCUGCUGCUGCCUCCACCCGCCCCCGCUGCCUACCUGCCGCUGUAGGCGUGAAGCGCCUGGCCCGCCUGGGCAUGGUGCCCGGCGGCGAGGUGCCCGGCAUGGGCGCCCUGGACAUGGAGGCCGCCGAGGGCUCCAUUGUCAACAACACCCGCGAGGUGAGCUUGGAGAGGUGGUGUUGAUUGCUGUGUUACAUAGGCCGGAAACAGCAGAGGGCCGCUGUCGCACAGCCCGCGUCCCAGCUUCUUUUGGCCUUGCCUGUGCCUCUGCUUAUGGCCUCCCUCACCUGGCUCGCUGCCUAGUUUUCUUACGGUCUUGCGUUCCCCUCCCCUCUCCCCCUCGCCCGCCCCAAUCACACCUCUAUACAGGUGGUGCCCGGCAUGGUGCUGACCGGCAUGGAGCUGGCGGAGGUGGACGGCUCGCCCCGCAUGGGCCCCACCUUCGGCGCCAUGAUCGUGUCCGGCAUGCGCGCUGCCCACAUGGCCGUCGCCGCUCUGGAGCGCCGCCGCGCCCUGUCCGCCGCCGCCGCCGAGGGUGCCGCCGCCGAGGCCCAGGCCUAAGCGCGCUCAGAACCUACUGGGCUGCGGCUCAUAUUGGGGUUGUUGCAACCCGUGGCCUGGUGUGGGUCUGCUGGUCAGUGUUGGGGCUAGGCGCAAUAGGGCGUGGGUCGCUGGGCACUGCGUCGCGAUUUCGUCAGGCUCCGAUGUCUUGUGGCUAGCACGUUUUCGACCGUGAGCGCAUGUCGGGUUCCGGUCCGGUAGCAACGUGCAAGACUCGGGUUUUGUUGAUGGAAUGUGUCCACGGGUUGAGGUUGAACGCACUCGUACUGGCGCCUGGGAGUUUGCGGGAGGAGUUGUCGUGUGGAGUUCAGCUCGGUGCCCUAGCCGACUGGGGAGCGCAGCAGUGCAUGACGAACUCCGCCGAUGUGGAACCCUUGGGGAUAAAAUGAUGGAACGCGUGAACGGUGACCGAACGCAAGCGCACCCCACCACUGGCGCACAGACCCACGCCAUGAGCUCAUGUAACAAUUUGGAGUUGAGAGAAGAUACACGUGCCUCACCACUCUAGGCGAGGCAGUGACGAGUUCGUGGCCCUUUUUAAGAUUGGGACACAAGUGUGUGUGCGUGGGCUGACCCUCAGGCUGUCCGUUGUCAGCAGCUUCGGUAAUUCACACCACACCGAUCGGGCGACCAGCCACAUCUCCAGCUGGGGCGGCGGGAGGCAUGUGCGCAUUGCUUCUUUCCGCGUCUCCGCAAUCCUUUGCACUUCAAUUGCAACUCCGUGCAGACGCUCCUGCACGCGGCUGCUCCCUAACAGCCCCACAGGCUCGUCGUUAGCCGUUUUCCUGCAUACCAACUCGAUACCAUCCCCUUUCUUGCCACUGGCAAGUGCUGUAUGUGCUGGGUGGGCACUCAAGGGUGUUGGAACCCAGGUCUGGUGGAUUGCCAACUGAACGUUCAGUGUGGGGCAACCACGAGGAGCCGAAGCUGUGCAGUCUGCUCUAGGCACGUAUCCUAGCGCUUGUCUGCAGUCUUCACGUGCGGCGCACGGGUCAAGCCCGCGCCAGCACCCGACCAUCCCCAGCCCUUCACCCUCAUCGCAGAUCGCGACCGCGUUCAGGCUACCUUGCAAGAGGGGACUGACCGAAUUAUGCUUACAUACAUGGCAAUAGACUGUGCCUCGCCUCAACGCAUUGGCGCCAAGCUCCCAACUCGGACUUUCCAACCAUGACCACAGGGCGAAAAACGGAACUGGCAUGCCCGAGCCCAAUCCUCCACUUUGCCCUACUUACCGUAUCAUAUGCUUGGCGUCAGCGGUCAGCAGCAAUUUGCACUUCGCCUGACGGGACUCGAGCUACCCUGCCAUCAGGGCUGCUUAGUGCACGCAACGCCCUGUCUAUUUCUGAAUGGCUUCCGUGAUCUUCGAAACCUCCCCCGUAAACGGUAUCCCUUGACACUCCUUAUGCUCCUCAUGCUGCCAGGCAAACGCGCUCUGCCCUGCUAUGCUGACCAGGCACCUGCACCCUUCCAACGCUGCCAAAAUCCAGUGUAUCACGCCUGCCCAGCGCCAGCCCCAGCUCCCGACGCCACGGCCACCGCCGCCUUGCCGGCCUCAUCCCCGCCCUCCAGAGCCGAGGCCACCCGGUUGCUGAUCAGCUGGACCAUCAGCGGGUCAAUGCCUGUGCGGUGAUGGAGAGAGCGACAAGUGAGGUAUGCAUUCAGCGCCCCCGCAAGGCAGUCGGACUUGCAUGCCCUUCCAUGUGGGAUACACAUGGACGUGUCGAAGCACAAGCCUCUCCAAACGGCGCACACGCCCCAGCAUACAGUACUGCGGGCGUGCUUCUGAUAUCCCAUAUACCGUACACGCCCUCAGAACCCACGCACCGGCCCCAAAACGCCUUUGCCCCAUGUGCCUCGCCACCUUGCCGUUAAGAAAACGAUAACCCACCAGCACCGGGCCCCCCACUCCCCACCCGUCCCACAAACCGACUGACCGAUGGGGUCGGCGAUUAUGCACUUCAGCCCGGGGUGCUCCGCCUGCGCCUCCCGCACCAGAGCCGGGAUAUCCUCCUGUCAUGUGUGGCGUGGCGUGGCGUUUGGCGUGGCUGGUGUGAACGUCUAUUGCAUUCUCAGUACCAGCAUUCUUGCCGCCAGGCAUGCGCACGAGUUCCACGUGCUUCACACUCCUUCGGCACAGCACAUCAAUAACCCCAGCGCAGCACGUUCCCCGCCGUGCGCGCACGCCUUCCCCUAGCCUCCUCACCCUGUCCCCGCUCACUUGUUGCAUCACAGCGUGUUACGCACCUGGAUGUGGCGCCCUCGUGACAGGAAGUACGGCGCAAUCACCACAGUGCUGGCGCCCCGCUCCGCGCAGCGGCCUGCAGAUGGAGCAGCCAGCAUCACGGCAUGACACCUAUCCAGCCUAUGUGAUCGGCAGACGCGAGGCAUCGGCAUACGCGAGCACAUAUGUCCGUCUCGAACGUCCACACCCGGCGUCGUGUCAUGUGCUCGUCUCUCUCGGCGGUACCCUGGCAAGCGGCCGCAAGUAGCCGUGCCCCCUGCCCACACGCGUGGCUCAGGACAUGCGUGUACGGCUCCUCAUGCACUGACUCACCCACGGCCUGCGCAAUGGUGGGCUCCGCGAUCUCCAUGUGUGCCACCUCCACCAGGUCGUGCCCCGUCAGCUGGCCGUACAGGGCGCCGAACUCGUGCAGCAUGUCAUUGGAGGCGCGCUUGCGCGAGCCGUGGUCCACAAUCACCACACCGACCUAGGAAACAUAUGCGAACAAAGGACCUCGUGGGAUUGAGGAAGCGGCGUCACCGGGUGGUGUCACUUGUCGUCAGCGUGGCCCCCGGCGUGGCACACGAACCCCGGCGAGGCAACCCCAGGCGCAACUCACAUACCUUGCCCGGGGCUCCAGCGCCGUUUCCAGAAGCCGCUGCCACGAUAGCCGAGCGCGAUAACCGAGGCGAGCGGAUGCAGGGCCAGGCAGCAGGGUAGCUUGUGGAGCCAGGCGCCAGGUCCGCCGCAGGCGAGGCCAUCGCUAACCGAUGAGCCAGCGAGUUGCAAUUACGAACUGCUACAGAAGAGUUCGGAUUGGCGAAUAAAUAACGCCGGGGAGCUGCAGGUGUGCUGACGCCUGAGUUCGCCGCGCGCCUCUCCAUAGAAAGGGCCAUCGUGAGAGGCCUGUCUAGAAUCGUGGGUUGGAAGUGUUCAAUCAAAUGAGUAGAGGUAUCUUUAUGCAAUGAAUUUUCUGGCAGCACUUGUGCAUGUAGAGCGACCUUGGCGAUGAGGGCACCUGGAUUCCAAAACUCCUCCGUUCUGCAACUUUAUGCACCUGACUUGCUGAGGAAUGCGGAUUAUCAUUAGUUAAUGUGAGGAUCAUGGCUCUACAAAAUGCUUGGCAAAACACGAAGGAGCGUGCCCGCGAGACCUGGGCGCAACUCACCUGGUCCGAGGUGUCUGGCUCGCUGGGCGACCUGGGCACGUUCCUUCCUUUGCUGGUGAGCUUCUGGGUGUCGAGUUGGCCAGCCGGCCCCAACCGCUGCCAGGCACGGGAUGUGCCGGUUCGCCCCGCCGGUACUUGAGGGUGCGGCCCAGGCGCAGUGCGGACCCCGUGAAGGUUCCUGCUUCGGGUCAUGUCGCAUCAAAGUGCAAUAUGCAUCCGCCAAAUUUUGACGACCGAGCAGCGCUAAUGCCACGCAGUCCUGCGCAGUCUGAUGUGCUGGCGUGCAGAACCGUUCACUGCAGGACCCGAGCGGUUGACAGGGCGCGUGCAGCACGCACAGCGUCCCACGCUCGCAUGACACAAACGGUUAUCGCAUACCCACACAGCACCAUCCACAUUCUUCAUUACCUUGAAUGUAGAUCGGCCUGGUUCAGAAGGUCCAUCUGGACCUGGGGACGACCCUUACUAUUACAGGUGGGGUUUUCCGCAGGGUGCAGGGUGCGGGGGCGUGGGCAGGGGAAGCCUGUGUUGCCUGUGCUGUUUGCAGCGUUGCGCACGUACCCACCCCCCACCGCACGGCAUCUGACACAAUCCAAUCUUGCACAUUGCUGGUUUGCCUGCGCAGGUCUGUACAACAUCAUCAGUGGGUGGCAGUUCCGCAUCCCCAUGUGCGUGCAGCCGAUGAAGACCAUUGCCGCGGUGGCGCUGGCGGGCGGAGCGGUGCGUGGCGUGGCGUGUUGUGUGGUGCGGUAUAGUGUGGUGUGGUGUGGUUGUGCGAUGUGCUUGUGCAGUGUGGUUGUGCAGAGUGACCGAGGGAAGGAAAGGAAACCCGGGCACCACUGCCCGCCACGGGACGCACACACACACAUCCUACUACACAUCGAUACACAGCCAGACUCUCCACGUCCCCUCCCACUUAUAGCGCCCACAGCACUUCGCGAGAGAGAUGCAUGUAUGUACCGCGCAACUCCCUGUGUGCAUCCUUGUCACCGUCCUUGCAAGCACCUCCCGCCACCGCCACCCCAACACACAUGGCCUGCCUCCCGUGCCUGCCUCCCCCAACCUCAACCUCAACCUCAACCUCUCCCUCCACGCCUGCUGCCUCCGCCGCCAGGCCGGUCUGGAUCUGCCUCAGCUGCUGCACGCGGGCCUGUUCGUGGCGGGCUGUGUGGGGCUGUUGGGUGCCAGCCAGGCCAUCGACCUGUUCAACUGGCUGGUGCCGCCACCCGUCAUCCGCGGCGUGCAGCUGGCGGUGGGCGUCAAGCUGGCCAUGAAGGUGAAGGGGCCCAAGGAGGGACAGAGGGAGGGAUAUGGGGCCCGGUCUGUGCAUGCUUAGUUAUGACCAGUUAUGACGUGGCCAGAAAAUGUUGACAAGUCGGUGCAGCAGAUCGGUUGGAAGGCCGAGGGAACAGAGGGAGGAAGGGAUGGUUGUUUUCGGCGAUUUCCACAAAAGAAACCGGAGACACGAGGACACGUGACGAGUCACGUGGGGAAGAAGGGAGAUCGAGCGCUGCGCACGAGGGUUGCAAGAGGGAAUUGCCAUGAAGUCUACCCGGUAGGACUCGGCAGUCAAGGCCCAAGCACUAGCAACAAUGCACCGCCUGCUGCCUCCGACCCGCCACGGCCACCAGGGUGUAGACAUGGCGUUGCGGCUGCACGGCGGCCCCUCCAGCGGCUGGCGGCCGUGGCUGGGCACUGAGGGGCUGGUGGUGGGGGCGGUGGCGCUGGCGGCUAUGAUCGCGACCACCCUGCCGCCGCGUGGUGAGCGAGCCUGGGAGCGAGAGGGGACAGGCCUAGCCAGUCUUUGGGGCUGGAUCCCGUUGACCCUCCUCAACCUGCGCGGAGGAGGAAGACCGUACGUAGGAGGAGAGGGAGUGAGGAAGGGUUCGGCAGCCGCUGCCCACGAUGCCGCAGCUGCUGCUGCCCACCCAAACAACCCCAUCCCCCAUCCCUAUCCUCACUCCGACCUCACACACUACCCCCGCAAACCCCGUCACAUGCCCCUGCAUGCUGCUACGGCUACUGCUACUGCUACUGCUGCUAUUGCUGCUGCGUUAGCCGCCCGCCGCGGCACCCUGGAAGCGGCCGAUGAGGGCGGUCUGGGCCCCCGCCCCACUGACACCGCCUUCGAGCCGCUGCUGCGCCGCCUGCCCGCCUGUUGCGGCGGCGGCGACCGCGCCCCGCAAGUGGAGGGCGCCGCCGUCAGCGCGGAGCGGGCGGGGCUGCUGGCGCACGCGGAGGGCGGCGAGCGCAGCGGCAACCUGGAUGACGGCACGGAGGCGGGCGUGGGCGCUGCGGCUGGAGGUGGAGGGUGUGGCGGAGGUGGAGGCGGCGGCAGGAUCCCCAGCGCGCUCAUUGCGGUGGUGGUGGGCCUAGCGAUGGCGGUGCUGCACCGGCCGGGGCUGGUGUGGGAGCUGCGGGUGAGUUUGAGCGUGUGUGUGUGUGUGUGUGUGUGUGUGUGUGUGUGUGUGUGUGUGUGUGUGUGUGUGUGUGUGUGUGUGUGUGUGUGUGUGUGUGUGUGUGUGUGUGUGUGUGUGUGUGUGUGUGUGUGUGUGUGUGUGUGUGUGUGUGUGUGUGUGUGUGUGUGUGUGUGUGUGUGUGUGUGUGUGUGUGUGUGUGUGUGUGUGUGUGUGUGUGUGUGUGUGUGUGUGUGUGUGUGUGUGUGUGUGUGUGUGUGUGUGUGUGUGUGUGUGUGUGUGUGUGUGUGUGUGUGUGUGUGUGUGUGUGUUUGAGCGUGUGUGUGUGUAUGUGUGUGUGUGGAAUAAUGCCGGAAAUGGGAGGGGGUGGCAAGAGGUGGCACGCACAGGAUGGCACAGGGUGGCAGGGGGCUGUGGGAGUUGGGCAGAGAGGCUAAGGAGCGAGAGGCUUCCCAGGCCAGGCAGUUGGGGAUUCCGUUGCACCAGGAGGCAGUAUGGAACUGCUCCCGACUGAUGUCGUGGCACGUGCAUGCUCAAGUGUGUUUUCUACGCACGUAUUGCUCCCCACAAAUACGCACCUUUCCCUCUCUCCCACACCCUUCCAUCCCGCCACGGUACCCUCUUGGACCUUGUCGCUCCUGGCGGCACCAUGUUUGGCAGGGUACCGUUAUGCGCACAUGCAGACUAUCCCUCCCUCCUCUCCCUGCCUUCCCCCCCCCCCCACACACACCCCCCUACCCCCCCCCCGCACCUCCUCAGCUGGGUCCCACAUUGCCGCGCCUGCUGCGGCCCUCCUGGCCCGACUUCAAGACCGGCGCGCUGCGGGGCGGGCUGCCGCAGCUGCCGCUGACCACGCUCAACUCCGUCAUCGCCGUGACACAGCUCGCUAACGCGCUCUUCGGCGACAAGUAAGCGAGCAAAUGCCUAAAGCUGCUGUAUAAAAUGCUUCAAUACCGUACCAUUCCAGAUUUCCAGCCCAACUUGCCGUAAGCCGGAGCAGCCCAUGCGUCUGUCUCCUUUAGACCCGUCAGACCCGAUUCAGACGAUGUGCCCGUGCGCUGAACCAGCUGCUUGAGCUGUUCGCCUGCGGCACCUCCGGAACCAGCUAAACCUCCCCUUCCGUCGUUCCUGCUUGUCGGUACGUCCGCUUGUUCGCCGCAGGCCGGAGGCGGAGCGGCGGCGCUGGCGGCCCUCUGCGGUGGCGCUGUCAGUGGCGCUUCUGAAUGGCGCGGGCGUGUGGCUGGGAGCCAUGCCCUGUUGCCACGGCGCAGGCGGGCUGGCGGCCCAGGUGCGAGAGCAGGCAAGGGGGCGCGGCGGGACUCGGGGCGGCAGGACGUGGAGGGGGCAUCAGUACACCUCCGUUCGGCUUUUUGACAUUCGAUACGAGCCCACUCCGCCUUCCGCUCUGGUCUACGUAACCGAUGCCUAGCGGCGGGUCGGUCGGUCAGCUCUACCGUACCUGCCUCGCUCUCCUCCCAAGUCCCAACCUGCACACACAAGUUCAUCCCUGUUUGGUGACCGCCAUGCUGUACCACAAUAACAGUACAAGUUCGGCGCGCGCACGGGCCACGCGCCCAUCCUGCUGGGCUGCAUCAAGGCAGCUCUGGGGCUGCUGUUUGGGGGCAGUCUGGUGGUUCUUCUGGAGGUGAGGGGGGUGGCGGCAGCGAGUGGUGCAAGGGCGCGGCGGGUUGGGCCGUGGCAUUAUGAAGGGGAGGGUUGGGCUAGAAAGGCUCUCUCUGUGUGUGGCUCACCUGUAGGUUAAGGCCGCGCCUCCUCCGCGCACUACGGCCUGGGCUGGCUUGGGCUUGGGUUCCGGGGUUUUCUUGGGUGAACUCCCCACCCACCCCACCCCACCCCACCCCACCCCACCCGCAGGCAUUCCCGCAGCCGCUGCUGGGCGCGCUGCUGACUGUGUCCGGCAUUGAGCUGGCGUCCGUUGUGCGCCACACGCGGUGGGUCAUGCUGCUGGUGCAGUGGGGGCCUUUGCCACCUAACGACCUCAGGCUGCACGUACAGUAUUGGCCACGUGCCGCAAAUCAGUAGACCAGCUUGCAUGUGCAAGGCCAUGCUGCCGGCAGCGAGCGAGCACCCGUUGUGUGGUUCUUCGUUGCAAGGUGGUGCGCACGGUCCUUGCGUGCCUUGCUGCCUCCUGGAGACUGGCGCUGGCCGGGGUGACCCCACGCGGUGACCCGCAUCCUGCCAUGAACCCAUACAUAACUGAGGGAGGCAUUCGACCGCAACGGUAGUUUUGCAAGUGGUCUGGCACAUGCAUGUGUGCAUUGUGGCAGCAUCUCGCCCGCACCCACACCGCUAUUGUUUGGUGCCUUCCUGUUGUCGCAGGUCUCCCCGCGGCUACACCUUUGCGCUGCUGACGGCCGUUGCCAUCCUGGCCCUGGACAACACCGGCACCGGCUUCCUAGUGGGGCUGGUAGGAGUGGCGGCUGUAGCAGCCUACGAGGGCGCAGUAGCAGCUGCGGCCGCUCGUUGGCCGCGGGUCUUUGCUCGCGGUGGCAGGGCGUGAAAAUGAGAGGGGGGGGGGUUCUAUGCCCGUGCCCAGCAACAUUGGUCCCAAUUGUCAGGGAAUUGGGGGGGGGGGCGGGGCGGGGUGGAGGUCUGGGACUCUGGAUGGUGGCGGUUCGAUAGUGUACAGCAGGAUGACCUACACCAGGGAUUACCUGACAGCAGCGUGGGGGAUAGCGCUUGGGUCCGUGUGUUCUGGGAAAGGGAAGGGUGCGGUGUGCAUGGCGCCACAUCAGCUACCGCCUUUUCGCAGAGGCGUUGUCGGCAGAAAUGUGACAGAAUCGCGGGAUUGACUCGUUUGUUGAGUCGGAGCUGCCAGCGGGGAUUGAUUCGUUUGUUGAGUAGUCGAGUACGUAGGAGCCGUCAGCGGCGGGCUUCACGGCGGGGGCCUGUCAUGUUCGGGGUUCUCGUUGCGGUAAGUUCAUGGGUCACUGUGGGAGGAAAGGGAGCCGUUAGGACGGUCCUUGAGUGCAUGCAAGAACGGCACGCACUAGAGACGCCACCGAGCGAACGUAAUUGAAUGGGGACCAAACAGGGUCCUCCCCAGUUGCCGUCCUGCAGGAGGCACCAGAUCCCAUCUAUAUAUCCAACACACACGUCUAACACCCAUGACUUUCAAUCGACCGCCGUGCAUCACUGCAUCCAUCGAACUAUGGAAGACCGCAGACCAACCGUUCUCCGUAUGACAGCGCAAACCAUGGAAUACGGCACAUGUAACAAGUAGCCCGCCAGGCAGAGUCAGGCAGUGACACAGCGGCCCGGCCCCAGCGUCGGGACCGCCUGCACAGUGCAUAUGCACUGUGCAGACCCUGGCACUGUGUGUAGCCUCCGUCUACUCGUGAUACCUUUUGGCUGGGUCAAAUGCUGGGUCUGGGGCGGGGUUGAGCGUCAAGCGUGGAGGCUGGUUAUUAAGAAUAUUGUUGAGGCCUCAAGCCUUAAAAAACAGAAAAAAUAUUCUCCCUGUGGGGCCCCGGGGCAACCUUUCUCGCUCGAGGGCUUGCGUUGGGCGGCGCUCCUUGCCGCUCCCUGAAGAUGCAAGCCCUGCGUUACGCCCGCCCGGCGUCCAAAGCAUGGGAGGUCCAAAGGCUGGGGCGCCCCUCCUGCCGCUCCCUUCAACUGGGAAGGCUGACUGGCUGAGUCCUCCUUACGGUAAGCCACCCGUGGGCUGUGUUGCCGACAGCUCCCGCGUGCUGCCGCUGCCACGCCCAGAAGGUGCGUGUACACGCCGGGUCGCUUGUGAGCCGCACUCCUGCCUGCCGCAGCCGCUGGAUCUCCUAUGCCUGUGCGGCAUGGGUAGCUGAGCGUCCCACCACCAGGUCCCACCACCUCCUUCAUAGCUGUGCGUCUCGUGUGGCUUCUGCUGGUGCUGCUGUUUCCAGCGUUUCUGUGCUGCUGUUUCCAGCGUUUCUGGGGCUGCGCGGACUGGCCCGCGUCGUGUAUGUAUUGAGGAUGGACGGUGAGCAGCCAUGGGGAGAGGGGUGCAGGGGCGAUUGUUUCCCUCCUCCAGCCGUGCAGCAUUGAAGGGGGGGGGGGGUUGCAGGGGGGAGGCGGGUGCAGCAGGGGGGAGGGUUCCCUCGGUCUCCCUGCCCUCCCCUGCCCAGCAGCUUGAAAGGGGGAUGUAUGGGGCUUCUCGGAUGGGAAGUAAGCGAAGUGGCACGCGUGCUUUCCAUCGUUUUUGCACUAGUUCUCAUAAUGAUCAUCAUAAAGGACAGUGAAGAAGGCCGCAGUCUUACUUGAUUGUGCAGCAGAGCGCCUUUGCUUGCGCUUCUCCUCCGACGAUCCAUCAAGGCCCUAGAGCUGUGUUAGCAUUAUACUGCAUGUUAUGGUAUUGCAUUUAGAGACUUUGCUCCUGUCCCGGCAGCGCGGUUUCCGGCUCCGUUCUCACGCUGCACUUGUUCUCGCGCCCUGGAAUGAAAUUCAGAUACUUAAGCUUAUUUCAAAAAGCGACAUCACAAAGUUGCAUUACCAAAAUCGCAGCGUAGCCCAAGCGCAAAGGAUUGCGCCACACUUUCGGCCCACCCCGCCCGAGAUAGCUGGGGCUGAUCAUUCGCCAGUAAGGAGGAAGAACUCCGGAAAUUGUCACGUGCUUGCGGCGGGCUUUCAUUUCCGCCCCCUGCUUUUCGCGCGCAAUCGUUGGUCAGGCGAGGUAGGGGUACGAAUCUGGCACAGUCCGACUUCACAGGCCGUCAAUUGUAGCAGCUUAGGUUCAUAUGCAUGCAUUUAAAAAAUGGAAUGACAGGCGCCGAACACGUUUGUGCGGAACUUCACAGGUGACAGUGUCGAGGUUAAACUUCACCAAUCGGGGCUUUGAGGCAACCAAAUAGGUUCAGAGAAUUGAUGCACACGUAUCACCGCUUCAAUACGCAGUGCAAAUUGGUGCUUGACGAAAUUCCGCCGCACGAACCGGGUUUGCGAUAUCUUUCACAAUUCAUCGUUUCAUUCCUACCAACUUAAGACCUUUUUGGCGAGCGCUUUAAUGUGGAGCGCUCGGUGGCUCCAGCAGCAUUAUUGGCGAUGCUCGCACCGCCGAAGGUGGUCCGGCGAUCGCCCGGCUAAGAGCUUCAUAGCAGCGGCAGUGAAGUUUCUGUAUCUGGCUGCCAUGAUGAUUGCGCUGCCCGUCGCGGCUCAGGUGCCGUCAACCUCCCGGUUCCCGCCACCACCUUUCUCCCGCUCGCCUGCACCUCCAUCGCCCCAGCCGCCCCGACCUCCCUCCCCAGCCGCCAACUCUUCCGUCCAGUCCGAGGCCCUCGCUCCCUCACCUUCUGCCCUUGACAGCACCUAUUCCGACUAUUCUGAUCUCCUAGAGGAGCUCGUGAGCUCGCUCCCUGUCCCCACCGCUACAGCCGGCGAUGCUACGGCCUAUGAACAGGCGGGUCUCGCGUCGCCGGCUGCGCGCUACUGCGCCAGCCUCAGCGCCUCCCUCGACCUGCUCUACUAUGGGCUGCUGCCCUCCCUGAAUCGCACGCUCAACGCCUCGGUCGGUGGCACGCCCCCAAGCAGUCGUCGCUUCGGUCUGAUGAUAAAUGCGGUGCCGCACUGCCGCACGCUGCAGAGCCUCUUCCCCUGGCUGCUUCAGGUACGUUGUUCCGUGCGUGCGUGCGCCGUCGAUGUCCAUCUCCCCCGCCGCAAAUAGCAAGCUCACUUACAACAUAACUUUCACUGUCACAUCACCAUACGGAUAUCCAUGCAUAACACAGGCGCUGGGCGACGGCGGCAUUGGGUCGGGCUGCUACUCUGUCGCCUUCUCCUCCUCCGUGGAACUGACCCUGACACCUGUUACGAGCGCGGACCUUCUGCUUG